Molecule: transfer RNA, 80 nt
Filed under: Candidatus Accumulibacter sp. SK-11
Lineage: Bacteria; Pseudomonadati; Pseudomonadota; Betaproteobacteria
Description: tRNA-Cys
Source: RNAcentral
UGCGGCCUCGACUGCGGCAAGAAGCCACUGCUGCUGCAGACGGCGGCGGCAGAGCUGCGCUUCUGCUGCGAAGGCUGCAA